GGACUACCGGGGUAUCUAAUCCCGUUCGCUCCCCUGGCUUUCGUGCCUCAGCGUCAGUUGAGAUCCAGUGUGCCGCUUUCGCCACCGGCGUUCCUUCCGAUAUCAACACAUUUCACCGCUCCACCGGAAGUUCCGCACACCCCUAUCUCACUCCAGCCCGACAGUUUAGGGCGCCAUUCCCCGGUUAAGCCGGGGGCUUUCACACCCUACUUGUCAGGCCGCCUACGCACCCUGUAAGCCCAGUGAUUCCGAAUAACGUUUGCACAGUUCGUAUUACCGCGGCUGCUGGCAC
Molecule: ribosomal RNA, 292 nt
Filed under: uncultured Planctomycetota bacterium
Lineage: Bacteria; Pseudomonadati; Planctomycetota
Description: uncultured planctomycete partial 16S ribosomal RNA
Source: RNAcentral